CCUACGGGGGGCUGCAGUGGGGAAUAUUGGGCAAUGGGCGAAAGCCUGACCCAGCGACGCCGCGUGAAGGAUGAAGGUCUUCGGAUUGUAAACUUCUUUGAUCAGGGAAGAAAGAAAUGACGGUACCUGAAGAACAAGCCACGGCUAACUACGUGCCAGCAGCCGCGGUAAUACGUAGGUGGCAAGCGUUGUCCGGAUUUACUGGGUGUAAAGGGCGUGUAGGCGGGUAUGCAAGUCAGAUGUGAAAUCCCGUGGCUCAACUGCGGAACUGCAUCUGAAACUGCGUAUCUUGAGUGUCGGAGGGGAAAGUGGAAUUCCUGGUGUAGCGGUGAAAUGCGUAGAUAUCAGGAGGAACACCGGUGGCGAAGGCGACUUUCUGGACGACAACUGACGCUGAGACGCGAAAGCGUGGGGAGCAAACAGGAUUAGAUACCCCAGUAGUC
RNAcentral lists this ribosomal RNA (443 nucleotides) under uncultured Saccharofermentans sp. RNAcentral describes it as "bacterial SSU rRNA". It matches the Rfam family "Bacterial small subunit ribosomal RNA", at positions 338 to 795 of the family's 1533-position model. Lineage: Bacteria; Bacillati; Bacillota; Clostridia; Eubacteriales; Oscillospiraceae. The record is from RNAcentral.